GACGAACGCUGGCGGCGUGCUUAACACAUGCAAGUCGAACGGUAAGGCCCUUCGGGGUACAUGAGUGGCGAACGGGUGAGUAACACGUGGGUGAUCUGCCCUGCACUUCGGGAUAAGCCUGGGAAACUGGGUCUAAUACCGGAUAGGACUCCUGGCUUCAUGGUUGGGGGUGGAAAGCUUUUGCGGUGUGGGAUGGGCCCGCGGCCUAUCAGCUUGUUGGUGGGGUAAUGGCCUACCAAGGCGACGACGGGUAGCCGGCCUGAGAGAGUGACCGGUCAGACUGGGACUGGGAUACGACCCAGACUCCUACGGGAGGCAGAAGUGGGAAGAUUGCACAAUGGGCGCAAGCCUGAUGCAGCGACGCCGCGUGAGGGAUGACGGCCUUCGGGUUGUAAACCUCUUUCAGCUAUGACGAAGCGCAAGUGACGGUAGUAGCAGAAGAAGGACCGGCCAACUACGUGCCAGCAGCCGCAGUAA
Molecule: ribosomal RNA, 477 nt
Filed under: uncultured bacterium
Lineage: Bacteria
Description: partial 16S ribosomal RNA
Rfam family: Bacterial small subunit ribosomal RNA
Source: RNAcentral